This 83-nucleotide transfer RNA is filed under the name Thermoflexales bacterium. RNAcentral describes it as "tRNA-Leu". It matches the Rfam family "tRNA". From Rfam's summary of the family: Transfer RNA (tRNA) molecules are approximately 80 nucleotides in length. Their secondary structure includes four short double-helical elements and three loops (D, anti-codon, and T loops). The record is from RNAcentral. Lineage: Bacteria; Bacillati; Chloroflexota; Thermoflexia; Thermoflexales.
GGGCCGGUGGCGAAAUGGCAGCCGCAGGAGACUUAAAAUCUCCCGUUCGAGAGAACGUGAAGGUUCGAGUCCUUUCCGGCCCA